ACGAGGGUCAACAACCAACACACUCAGAACCAUUGUACCCACACAGCCAUUCUGUUUUUCACUUUCAGUACAGUAUUCAGUAAUCAUAUGAGAUCUUCAGCACUUUAUAUAAAAUAGGCUUUCUGUUAGAUGAUUUUGCCCAGCUGUAGGCUAAUGUAAGUGUUCUGGGCAUGUUUAAGAUCGGCUAGACUGAGCUGUGACAUUCGGUAGAUUGACUGUGGAUUAAGUUUCAUCAGCAGCGACAAAAAAGGUAGCACUUUUCAAAUUUGAAUAUGCUUUUGAAGCACCUGAAGGACUCGAUAAAGCAAAAUUGCUGAGAACUAUCUCCAGGGUUUCUAAUUCAGACCCUGCCUGUUCUGAAGAGAAUGAAAAACCAUCAGAGGAGUGAUCUGAAGUGAAACUAUUCCAGGAAGACAGAGGAAAAUUCCCCCCCAUUUUCAGAACAUUUGCAGUUUGCAACCUAUUUUCAAUGCCUUCAGCCGUCUAAGAUACCAGAGAC
Molecule: long non-coding RNA, 499 nt
Organism: Camelus dromedarius (Arabian camel)
Lineage: Eukaryota; Metazoa; Chordata; Mammalia; Artiodactyla; Camelidae
Exons: 4
Source: RefSeq, a predicted model, not a curated record